UACGAAGGGGGCUAGCGUUGCUCGGAAUUACUGGGCGUAAAGGGCGCGUAGGCGGAUAUCUAAGUUGGGUGUGAAAUCCCGGGGCUCAACCUCGGAAUUGCCUUCAAAACUGGAUAUCUUGAGUUCGGGAGAGGUGAGUGGAACUCCGAGUGUAGAGGUGAAAUUCGUAGAUAUUCGGAAGAACACCAGUGGCGAAGGCGACUCACUGGCCCGAUACUGACGCUGAGGCGCGAAAGCGUGGGGAGCAAACAGG
RNAcentral lists this ribosomal RNA (253 nucleotides) under uncultured bacterium. RNAcentral describes it as "partial 16S ribosomal RNA". It matches the Rfam family "Bacterial small subunit ribosomal RNA", at positions 524 to 776 of the family's 1533-position model. The record is from RNAcentral.